AUGAAAGAUGUCAUGCGAGCACGUUUUGUGCCCACCUACUACAACCGCGAUCUCUUCAAGAAGCUCCAACUCCUCAAGCAAGGAAAAAAGAGUGUUGAAGAAUACUACAAGGAAAUGGGGAUGGCCAUGAUUCGAGCCAAUGUCACGGAAGAUGAUGAGCAAACUAUGGCACGCUUCUUGCAUGGCCUCAAUCAUCCCAUCAAGAAGAUUGCCGACUUCCAACCCUACUCCAACCUCAUUGAGCUCGUGCAUCAAGCUACCAAAGCGGAACGCCAAGUGCAAGAUGACUUCAAGUACGCCAAGUACUCGUCUAAGACCUACGGCUUCUCCAAUGCCCAAGCUUCAACGACCCCUCCAACUUCUACCUCACCCAAGCCAUCUACAAGCAACGACGACAAGUCAAGUUACAAGAAAACUUCGACAAGCUCAAGUCGUCUUCCUCCUACUACAAGCAACUACAAGCCGCGCGCUUCAUCAUCUACUCCAACCGAUGAGACCGUCAAGACAAGCUCCUUCAAGUGUUUCACUUGCGGCGGCCGAGGCCACAAGUCCUUCCAAUGCACCAACAAGCGCACCAUGAUCCUCAACGACGACGGAACCUAUGACUUCAUGAGUGACGAGGAGAUGGAAGCCCUUGAGCAAGUGGCCAUGCACCGGCGCGUGAACGAGGACGAAGAUGAUCAAGUCUUUUGUGAUGAGGAUUCGAGCCCCGCUCUCGUUGUCUCCAAAGUCUUGACUCUUCAACAUCAACAAGAAGACCAACGAUGCCACAUCUUCCACACUAAGGCCGGCAUCAAUGGAAGGUCCAUCAAGGUCAUCAUCGAUGGAGGUAGUUGCCACGACUUGGCAAGUGAAGAACUAUGCUCCAAGCUACAAUUGGUCAAGAUGAAGCACCCGCACCCAUACAAGGUCCAAUGGCUAAGCGAUUCCGGCACUAUAAAGGUUGAGCAUACGGUCCAAGUCUCCUUCAAGAUUGGCGCAUAUAAGGACACUUUGGAGUGUGAUGUCGUCCCGAUGUCCGUUUGCCACCUCCUUCUUGGUCGACCAUGGCAAUUCGACCGCGGCGUCAUCCACAAUGGGCGUACCAAUCACUAUAGCUUCAAGAUGAAAGGGAAGGAGUAUGUGCUACGACUUAUGUCUCCUAGUCAAGUGAUAGCCGACAAGCAAGCCACCCAUCGUGGAGAGAAGAGUGAGAAAGUGAUCCACCCAAAAGAGAGUGAGAGCCACAAGCCAAAACCGAGUGCCUCCACGAUGAGCGACAAGAAAAACUUAGUCAUAUUUGCCACCAAAAGUGAGAUGAAAGAAGUGUGUGAGAACCCAUCAAGCGUUAUGCACUUUGUCCUUGUGUGCAAGGACGGGGAACCAAAAACUAACACCACUCACAAUCUACCUUUAGUGUUUCAAUCUCUUUUGCAGGAAUUCAAAGAUGUUUUCCCCGAUGAGCUACCUCCGGGUCUACCUCCUCUACGAGGCAUUGAACACCGAAUCGACCUCAUCCCCGAAGCACCUCUUCCAAACAAAGUUCCAUACUACGUCAACCCCGAAGAAACUAAAGAGAUCCAACGACAAGUACAACAACUCAUCGACAAUGGACAUGUACGUGAAAGCUUAAGCCCUUGUGCCGUUCCCGUUAUACUUGUGCCCAAGCAAGACGGUAAUUUUUGCAUGUGCUCGGAUUAUAGACCUAUCAUUGCUAUUACCGUUCGUUAUAGGCAUCCCAUUCCUUGCUUAGACGAUAUGCUUGAUGAACUUAGCGGUGCCACCAUUUUCUCAAAAAUUGAUCUCAAAAGUGGCUAUUAUCAAAUCCGCAUACAAGAAGGUGAUGAGUGGAAAACCGCUUUCAAAACCAAAUUUGGAUUGUACGAAUGGUUGGUUAUGCCUAUGGGUUUGUCGGAAGCUCCCUGUACUUUCAUGCGUCUUAUGCAUUUUGUGCUUCGACCUUAUAUUGGAGUGUUUGUUGUGGUUUACUUUGAUGAUAUUCUUGUGUUUAGCAAAUCCAUGAAAGAGCAUCUAAAGCAUGUUAGGGCUGUUUUGCAAACUCUUCGCAAGGAACGCCUUUAUGCCAACAUGAAAAAGUGCACGUUUGGUGUUGACAAGCUCGUCUUCUUGGGUUUCGUUGUCUCUUCCAAGGGUGUUCAUGUUGAUGAAUCUAAAAUUGAAGCACUUAAAACUUGGCCCAACCCACCAAUUUGCAACAAGUGCGUAGCUUUCUUGGCCUUGCGGGUUUUUAUCGUCGCUUUGUGA
This 2244-nucleotide ribosomal RNA is filed under the name Triticum aestivum (bread wheat). Its description in RNAcentral is "partial small subunit ribosomal RNA". Lineage: Eukaryota; Viridiplantae; Streptophyta; Magnoliopsida; Poales; Poaceae. The record is from RNAcentral.